RNAcentral lists this ribosomal RNA (154 nucleotides) under Sarcocystis bertrami. RNAcentral describes it as "partial 18S ribosomal RNA". It matches the Rfam family "Eukaryotic small subunit ribosomal RNA", at positions 1687 to 1827 of the family's 1831-position model. Lineage: Eukaryota; Apicomplexa; Conoidasida; Eucoccidiorida; Sarcocystidae. The record is from RNAcentral.
GAUUGAGUGUUCCGGUGAAUUAUUCGGACUGUUCCGUGUCGCGCGCUUGUGGUGACACAAAUGUGUGUGCGGAAUGGGAAGUUUUGUGAACCUUAACACUUAGAGGAAGGAGAAGUCGUAACAAGGUUUCCGUAGGUGAACCUGCGGAAGGAUC